Molecule: ribosomal RNA, 483 nt
Filed under: uncultured bacterium
Lineage: Bacteria
Description: partial 16S ribosomal RNA
Rfam family: Bacterial small subunit ribosomal RNA
Source: RNAcentral
GACGAACGCUGGCGGCGUGCUUAACACAUGCAAGUCGAACGCUGAAGCUCAGCUUUUGUUGGGUGGAUGAGUGGCGAACGGGUGAGUAACACGUGAGUAACCUGCCCCCUUCUUUGGGAUAACGCCCGGAAACGGGUGCUAAUACUGGAUAUUCACUGGUCUUCGCAUGGGGGUUGGUGGAAAGGGUUUUUCUGGUGGGGGAUGGGCUCGCGGCCUAUCAGCUUGUUGGUGGGGUGAUGGCCUACCAAGGCUUUGACGGGUAGCCGGCCUGAGAGGGUGACCGGUCACAUUGGGACUGAGAUACGGCCCAGACUCCUACGGGAGGCAGCAGUGGGGAAUAUUGCACAAUGGGCGCAAGCCUGAUGCAGCGACGCCGCGUGAGGGAUGGAGGCCUUCGAGUUGUGAACCUCUUUCGCUCAUGGUCAAGCCGCAACAAUGGUUGUGGUGAGGGUAGUGGGUAAAGAAGCGCCGGCUAACUACGUG